UCCACAUCAUUUCCAGAUUUUUCCUCAGGAGUCGAGCCGCCAUUUUUUCGAGUGAAGGUGACUUGGAUAAAAGAUUUUUUUCCAUGACUGGUGGGUGACUUCAGACUUGAACACUAUCUAAGGACUCUGGCGCCAAUGAUGCUCAGAGGGACCUGGAGCAGCUCACUUUGGCUGUGUUUGUCAUUCGGAAGGAGGGGGAA
Molecule: long non-coding RNA, 200 nt
Organism: Cyclopterus lumpus (lumpfish)
Lineage: Eukaryota; Metazoa; Chordata; Actinopteri; Perciformes; Cyclopteridae
Exons: 3
Source: RefSeq, a predicted model, not a curated record